GCGUCGGUGGUACAGCGGUAAAAUACUUGCCUAAUAUGCAUGUGGUCCGGGGUUCAAUCCCUGGCCGACGUA
Molecule: transfer RNA, 72 nt
Filed under: Trichobilharzia regenti
Lineage: Eukaryota; Metazoa; Platyhelminthes; Trematoda; Strigeidida; Schistosomatidae
Rfam family: tRNA
About the family: Transfer RNA (tRNA) molecules are approximately 80 nucleotides in length. Their secondary structure includes four short double-helical elements and three loops (D, anti-codon, and T loops).
Source: Rfam by way of RNAcentral